AAUUUUUUUGGUGAAAAUACGAAAGAAGCAUAAGAACUGAAAAUGUAAGCAGCAGGACAGAUUGAUCUCGUGUAUUUCCCUCAAUGAAAAUACCAAAUAUGUAUAACAAUGUUGACGUACGCACGACAUCACUAUCGAGAAGCGACUUACUCAAAAUGGCGUGUUCACUGACACGAAUACGUCGGAUUUUUUUAAGGACACUUUCGUUGUUUCAAGCAACGUACAUGCAUAAAUGUGACAUGUAAGUAGUCCGAAACAUUCUGAUGAUCUGCUGGUUGUUAUUUUCCUUUUUUUUCAUUGUGACCAAGGGAAAUAGUCAGAAAUGAGGAAAACUACCAUCGUCGGUGUGCGUGAGUUUGUGUCAGUCAUGGCAUCAGGCUUUCCAAAACUAUAAUAUGUUGUGAUGAAUCUAGGAAAUCAUUGGAAUACUCCUAUUUUAUUUAACUAUCGCUUGCUACGAUACCUUUCCCAUGCUUGGUCUAAAACUAAUGAGCAAGCAAUGAGUGGAUAUAGAAAAGCGUUUAUCAUGCUUUUUUUACAAGGGUUUGGAGCACAAAUGUUCAUGUAUUAUAAGUAAUUUUCCAAGCUGGAUUUCCUUAAUUAUCAUUUUCAAAAAAUACAGAUAUGCUUGUCUACACUUAGUUUAGAAAUAAGAACCAUCAAUAUUGAUUGGCUAAUUCUGACUGAGUUAAUUCUGACAUUUCAAGCAAUUUAUAACAGGGAUACAUCUGGUAAAUUUCAUUUUAUAUAUAAUCAAUUACAGAUAUUACAACAUAAAUGAAAAUUCAGAAAAUAUAACACUUCAAGUCACAUUGUUAUCGCUAACAAAACUAUCUCUUUGAGACGAACUUCAUUUAUCCAGACAUAUCUAUCAUUAAUCAAAGAACAUGUUCCUUCUGACUUUAUUGUUCCUUCCUUCACAACCAUGGAAACAUGAACUCAUACUACCUCUUGGUCACAGAGUUACAAUGGUAACAUGAGCUCAUACUACCUCUUGGUCACAGAAUUACCAUGGAAACAUGAGCUCAUACUACCUCUUGGUCACAGAGUUACCAUGGAAACAUGAGCUCAUACUACCUCUGGGUCACAGAGUUACCAUGGAAACAUGAGCUCAUACUACCUCUUGGUCACAUAGUUACCAUGGAAACAUGAGCUCAUACUACCUCUGGGUCACAGAGUUACCAUGGAAACAUGAGCUCAUACUACCUCUGGGUCACAGAGUUACCAUGGAAACAUGAGCUCAUACUACCUCUUGGUCACAUAGUUACCAUGGAAACAUGAGCUCAUACUACCUCUGGGUCACAGAGUUACCAUGGAAACAUGAGCUCAUACUACCUCUGGGUCACAGAGUUACCAUGGAAACAUGAGCUCAUACUACCUCUGGGUCACAGAGUUACCAUGGAAACAUGAGCUCAUACUACUUCUUGGUCAGAGUUACCAUGGUAACAUGAGCUCAUACUACUUCUUGGUCAGAGUUACCAGGGAGUCAGACAUACUGGAGAUUGAGGUCCGAGGGAAAUAUUGGCAAAUUACUGUAUAAACACAAGCACACUAGCAUCUCUACAUUACGAUAACUAGUCAUACCUUGCUACUGUCAGUACAUGUUCUUAAAUAACCAUCCUUUUAACACAAGUUUAUAACAAUGAAUCAUUAAGCAAACAUGAUUUUAAUAGCGAAGAAGUUCAAAAAGAAAUUCAAAAUUUACUUGGUAUUUUUUUGUAACAAAAAUAUAUGAAAAUCAAUGUUUCUGAAUAUUAAUGAACUUUGUCAUUCAGAUAAUUUAUAAACAUUUCCCAGAUGGGGUCAAGUAUUUACAAUAAUCGAGUCCUUCAAAAUCUGGAUAUUCACUGCCUAUUGAGUUUGAAAGAAAUAUUACUGUCAAAGUUAGCAACCCUUUGUUCUUAACUGUUAACAUGCUAAAAUCAAACCAAUAAAGAAAUGUAACUAUGGUAACAAGAAUGGAAUGUGUUCAGACCUCAAAGGAAAUAAUGUGGAAAUACAAAUCACAAAAAAAAAUCUUCAUAUUGCAUAAGAUGAAAACGUAAAUAU
Molecule: long non-coding RNA, 2049 nt
Organism: Haliotis rubra (blacklip abalone)
Lineage: Eukaryota; Metazoa; Mollusca; Gastropoda; Lepetellida; Haliotidae
Exons: 2
Source: RefSeq, a predicted model, not a curated record